UGUGUGUGUGUGUGUGUGUGUGUGUGUGUGUGUGUGUGUGUGUGUUGUGUGCACGCGCACGCACACAUGCACACG
RNAcentral lists this microRNA precursor (75 nucleotides) under Myotis lucifugus (little brown bat). Its description in RNAcentral is "miRNA (ENSMLUG00000020223.2)". The record is from RNAcentral. Lineage: Eukaryota; Metazoa; Chordata; Mammalia; Chiroptera; Vespertilionidae.